Brassica napus (rape) is the source of this 1840-nucleotide long non-coding RNA. RefSeq lists it as uncharacterized. The transcript is spliced from 3 exons. The record is from RefSeq and is a predicted model, not a curated record. Lineage: Eukaryota; Viridiplantae; Streptophyta; Magnoliopsida; Brassicales; Brassicaceae.
AUUGACUUGACUUGUAUAGUUCACAAGGUCAUAACGUGUGUGUUAUUUAUAUGAUGAUGAUGCCAUGAUGGUAGUAAAUUCUCUCACACAUACUAAUUAAAAUUUUGAAAAAAAAAAUGGAGAAAAGAGGAUGUGGUGUCGGUAAUGUUGCCAUAAGCUGUGUUUAUUUGGCAAUCAUGUUGCUGCUUUUAUCAUCAGCCCUUGCGACCAGCUCGCAAGUCACGCCUCCCACAACUGGACAUGGUGGAAAAUGGGGAGUGCGAACUUUAAUGCAAUAUGGUGAAGGUGACGGUGAAGGUGAUGAUGGGUCAACAUAUCAUUCACGGUGUAAGAGAGGAGAUGUAACGGGAAGCUGUACGCGCGGCGAUGGUAUCGGGAAUACUAAGACAUAAAACGAUGUCAAUGUGUUGCAUACAUGCAUGCUAUUUUUUUUUUUGAUCAAACCAUAAUUGCAUUUAAUUUAGAAGAGUUUAAACACCGUCAAAAGAGAAUACAACAAGACUGCACUGAGCCAAACAAACCAAACACUGGUAAAGUAAAAGAUAGAAUGGCGAUACAAAUCACAAAAAAAACCAUAUGAAAUUGCAUCAUAACAGUUUCAUAGACAUUCUGAAAGAUCGCAUCUAGUGUAACCCAUAGGACCACACAUACUGCACCAUACGCAGAGAGCAUUCGCUGGGAGGAACAUCCUUGCAAUACCAACAAUGCUUGUUCAUCCAAUUCACUCCAUACAUGAGGAAAUAUUGGGAAGAGAGACUGCUCCAACAAGGAGACAAACGGGUAAUUUAUACCCACCAUAAUCAUAUUCAUCCGACUAAGUAUACCAAUGAACUUCUCCUUCAACUGCCACCAAAAAGAGAACAAAUACACAUCACCAAGAACUCGAAUGAAGACAAUAACAUGACUGCAUACAACAGUAAGACUGCACACAACAGUAAGAUAACUGCACACAGCAGUAAUAAAUCGCACCGAAACGACAUAAGGACCACCAAAGUCUACAAAGGUGGAAACAACAUAAGCUAUGUCCAUCAGUACAUCGCCAAAUAAACCCAUGUUCCUCAAUUCCAAUGUCACUCUGAAAACUAGCUUUCUAUCCCAUUCAGCAAAAGAGGAAUAAGCGGAAAAUAACGAGCUAAGGUGAACUUGGAACACAGUAAGAGGAGAGGGGAGAGAUAGAAUGGAAUAGGACCUGAUAGAGGCCCAGUCCACGCACUGACAGGGAGACGACAUGACAUCGGUAUAACGAACCGGAGAAAACCCGGUAAUGAGACUGCAUACUGCAGUAAAUAAGUCAAUGAAGGACCCAAUACCAAACACCAACAAACCAGCCUCCGAGAUUGAAUGAGAGGAGCCCAGCUCCAUAAUCCAGGAGGUCAAGGUCAUAGAAGAGAUGGAAGGCCUAAGAAUCCUUGAAUCAAAGUAUACUGGAACUUGAAAAAAUCUCAGAUCUAGAUCUAGAUUCAAAAACGAUUCUGUGGAAGGGGCCAGAGCGGGGAGAUGAAAAGAGACGAUGGAAACUUCUUCAGAGGUGAACGGUCUGUUUGAGAUGGAGACUCCGACAAAGUAAAAUGGACUACUUGAGAUGAAAAUUUCGACAGUUACAGAAGAUAUUUUGGAGAGAGAGGCUCUAGCGGGAGAAGAUGGAAGGUCGGGUGGUUCUGGAGGUUCAGGUUCCGGCAACUGACCGGACUCCAUGGCGGAGGAGGAGAAGAAGGCCACAACGGCCUCUUGCGGCUAGGGUGUUUAGAGAGCGUUUGGGUUUUUUUUUUCAGAGCUACAUGAACAACAAAAUACAUGCAUGCUAUAAAAUAUAGUAAUAAAUAAAGAACUUUGUUUUAUA